GACAGAGGUGCCGAGCGUUAGGCGGAAUCACUGGGCUUAAAGCGUGUGUAGGCGGGCGGGCAAGUACCUUGUGAAAUCCCACGGCUCAACCGUGGAACUGCUGGGUAUACUGCUCGUCUUGAGCCAAUCAGGGGCGAGCGGAACAGACGGUGGAGCGGUGAAAUGCGUAGAUAUCGGAAGGAACACCAGUGGCGAAAGCGGCUUCCUGGUCCGACACCGACGUUCAGGCACGAAAGCGUGGGGAGCAAACAGG
RNAcentral lists this ribosomal RNA (253 nucleotides) under uncultured bacterium. RNAcentral's name for it is "partial 16S ribosomal RNA". It matches the Rfam family "Bacterial small subunit ribosomal RNA", at positions 524 to 776 of the family's 1533-position model. The record is from RNAcentral.